AUUGAACGCUGGCGGCAUGCUUUACACAUGCAAGUCGAACGGUAACAGGCCUUCGGGUGCUGACGAGUGGCGAACGGGUGAGUAAUGCAUCGGAACGUGCCCAGAGGUGGGGGAUAACGCAGCGAAAGCUGUGCUAAUACCGCAUGUGAUCUGAGGAUGAAAGCGGGGGACCAGGCAGCAAUGUUUGGCCUCGCGCCUUUGGAGCGGCCGAUGUCAGAUUAGGUAGUUGGUGGGGUAAAGGCCUACCAAGCCGACGAUCUGUAGCUGGUCUGAGAGGACGACCAGCCACACUGGGACUGAGACACGGCCCAGACUCCUACGGGAGGCAGCAGUGGGGAAUUUUGGACAAUGGGCGCAAGCCUGAUCCAGCAAUGCCGCGUGCGGGAAGAAGGCCUUCGGGUUGUAAACCGCUUUUGUACGGUACGAAAAGGCUCUGGCUAAUACCUGGGGCUGAUGACGGUACCGUAAGAAUAAGCACCGGCUAACUACGUG
RNAcentral lists this ribosomal RNA (492 nucleotides) under uncultured bacterium. RNAcentral describes it as "partial 16S ribosomal RNA". It matches the Rfam family "Bacterial small subunit ribosomal RNA", at positions 30 to 507 of the family's 1533-position model. The record is from RNAcentral.